This 945-nucleotide ribosomal RNA is filed under the name uncultured archaeon. Its description in RNAcentral is "bacterial SSU rRNA". It matches the Rfam family "Archaeal small subunit ribosomal RNA", at positions 1 to 922 of the family's 1478-position model. The record is from RNAcentral.
UUCCGGUUGAUCCCGCCGGACCCUACUGCUAUCGGGGUGGGACUAAGACAUGCGAGUUGAGCGUCUCUAAGCCAUGGUAGAGACGCGGCGUACGGCUCAGUAACACGUGGCUAACCUACCCUUAGGACGGGGACAACCCCGGGAAACUGGGGCUAAUACCCGAUAGGCGAGGAGGCCUGGAAUGGUUCUUAGUCGAAAAGGCGUUGAAACCAUGCUUUUCGACGUUGCCUAAGGAUGGGGCCGCGCCCGAUCAGGUUGUUGGUGGGGUAACGGCUCACCAAGCCUAUAACCGGUACGGGCCGUGAGAGCGGGAGCCCGGAGAUGGGCACUGAGACAAGGGCCCAGGCCCUACGGGGCGCAGCAGUCGCGAAAACUCCGCAAUGCGCGAAAGCGUGACGGGGCUACCCCGAGUGCCGCCCGCUGAGGAUGGCUUUUCCCCGGUGUAAUGAGCCGGGGGAAUAAGGAGAGGGCAAGUCUGGUGUCAGCCGCCGCGGUAAUACCAGCUCUCCGAGUGGUAGGGAUGAUUAUUGGGCUUAAAGCGUCCGUAGCCGGCUUAGCAAGUCUCCUGUUAAAUUCAGCGACCUAAUCGUUGAGCCGCGGGAGAUACUACUAGGCUAGGAGGCGGGAGAGGCCGACGGUAUUCUCGGGGUAGGGGUGAAAUCCUAUAAUCCCGGGAGGACCACCAGUGGCGAAGGCUGUCGGCUAGAACGCGCUCGACGGUGAGGGACGAAAGCUGGGGGAGCGAACCGGAUUAGAUACCCGGGUAGUCCCAGCUGUAAACGAUGCGGGCUAGGUGUUGGGGUGGCUACGAGCCACUUCAGUGCCGCAGGGAAGCCAUUAAGCCCGCCGCCUGGGGAGUACGGCCGCAAGGCUGAAACUUAAAGGAAUUGGCGGGAGAGCACCACAAGGCGUGAAGCUUGCGGUUCAAUUGGAUUCAACGCCGGG